AAUUCCAUUUUCUAGGAAACUGGAGGUUAAACCAAGCCCUUCUAAGAAUUAGAGACAGAUAGAUAAAAAGGUAAAGGCUUCCCCUGGACGUUAAGUCCAGUCAUGUCUGACUCUGGGGGUUGGUGCUGAUCUCCAUUUCUAAGCUUACUUAGAAAUAAUGGAAUGUAUGGGAAUGCAAUGUAUCUCAUGGAAACCUGUGGAUACGGAAGUCUGCCUACACGUUGUGAUUCUUACUUGUUUUUAUUUGGAAUUCUGUAACUUUAAAGCUUGUCCCAUGGAUCUUCUAUCUCUCCAAAAAUGAUAGGAAUAACGUCUGUGAGUAGUUAGGAAUAUUUGGAGACACGUUCGUAUUAUUAAUCAUAAUACUUACUUUAUUUUUGUAUCCCACCUCCAUCUCCCCGAAGGGAUUCAGAGCUCACAUGGGCAUGAACCCAACAUCGACAUAACUUAAAACAAUCCAUGAAAUGUAAAACAAUAUAACAAUAUAGUAUAAAACAGCAUAAAACAACAUAAAAUAUUUUCCCUCCUUGGAGUGCACUUUCCUCAGCGCCAGCCCAAGGGAGCCAUGCUCUGCGUGAGGAUCAGGAUGAGGGCCUUCCCUUCUGCAGCCUCCCCAUUAUCUGAUGCCCUCCCCUUCAAAGCCCACCCAGUGCAGAUGUUGAUGUUAUUCCAGUCUCCAGACACAUCAUACUGCUGAGCUGAGCUGGAGGUAAUACGAGGCUGCAACACAUCCACUGCUCCCCAUUCAGGAGCAAAGGAAGGGCGGGAAGGAUGUAAGUACCCUCCGGAGGCAGGAAGAGGAGGGCAGAGGGGCCUGCAAAGAAAGGUAACUUCUGAACAAGUUCUGCGAAGAACAUCUUGUGAGAGUUUUGCCCGAGGAGUGCUCUAAGUCUAAAGUGAAUUCAAGAUGCACAGCAAUGACAACAAGAAGAAAUAAGUAGUAGAAAAAUACAUUUCAAGCUAAAUGCCUGUGCAAUUAUAAGGGGGGAAAUAAGAUUGUGCUGAAGAAAGAGACACUUGCUGAAAGUGAGAAGAAUGCUAAAGUAAUACAAAGACUAUGCUGUUCGGGAGGUUAUAUCUGUGAAUCCCUGGCAUGAUAUUUGAAUUAUAAUUGUAAAAGAAUGGCAAGUCCUCCACCUCCCUAUCAUGGAUCACACACAGGGGAGAAGUUACAUCAGUGUAUGGAAUGUGGGAAACAAUUUGAUAGCAAAAGUCAUCUUACUAGACAUGAACGCACCCACACAGGGGAGAAGCCUUAUAAAUGCAUGGAAUGUGGAGGAAGCUUCAGUCGCAGUGGCAGCCUACGUUCCCAUCAAAGGACCCACACAGGGGAGAAGCCAUAUAAAUGUAUGAAAUGUGGAGGAAGCUUCAGUCGCAGUGGCAGCCUACGUUCCCAUCAAAGGACCCACACAGGGGAGAAGCCCUAUAAAUGCAUGGAAUGUGGAGGAAGCUUCAGUCGCAGUGGCAGCCUACGUUCCCAUCAAAGGACCCACACAGGGGAGAAGCCAUAUAAAUGCAUGGAAUGUGGAAAGAGCUUCAGUCAGAGUUGCCAUCUACGUUCCCAUCAAAGGACCCACACAGGGGAGAAGCCACAUAAAUGCAUGGAAUGUGGAGAAAGCUUCAGUCAGAGUGGACAUCUACGUUUCCAUCAAAGGACCCACACAGGGGAGAAGCCACUUAAAUGCGUAGAAUGCGGAAAGAGCUUCAGUCACAGUUCUCAUUUGCGUACCCAUCAAAGGACCCACACAGGGGAGAAGCCAUAUAAAUGCAUAGAAUGCGGAGUAAGCUUCAGUCACAGAGGCAGUCUACGUUACCAUCAAAGGACCCACACAGGGGAGAAGCCAUACAAAUGCAUAGAAUGCGGAAAGAGCUUCAGUCGGAGUGACAGUCUACGUUCUCAUCAAAAGACCCACACAGGGGAGAAGCCACAUAAAUGCGUAGAAUGCGGAAAGAGCUUCAGUCACAGUUCUCAUUUGCGUACCCAUCAAAGGACCCACACAGGGGAGAAGCCAUAUAAAUGCAUAGAAUGUGGAGAAAGCUUCAGUCGGAGUGACAGUCUACGUUCUCAUCAAAAGACCCACACUGGGGAGAAGCUACAUAAAUGCGUAGAAUGCGGAAAGAGCUUCAGUCGCAGUGACAAUCUACAUUACCAUCAAAGGACCCACACAGGGGAGAAGCCAUACAAAUGCAUAGAAUGCGGAAAGAGCUUCAGUUGGAGUGACAGUCUACGUUCUCAUCAAAAGACCCACACAGGGGAGAAGCCACAUAAAUGCGUAGAAUGCGGAAAGAGCUUCAGUCACAGUUCUCAUUUGCGUACCCAUCAAAGGACCCACACAGGGGAGAAGCCAUAUAAAUGCAUAGAAUGUGGAGAAAGCUUCAGUCGGAGUGACAGUCUACGUUCUCAUCAAAAGACCCACACUGGGGAGAAGCCACAUAAAUGCGUAGAAUGCGGAAAGAGCUUUAGUCACAGUUCUCAUUUGCGUACCCAUCAAAGGACCCACACAAGGGAGAAGCCAUAUAAAUGUAUGGAAUGUGGAAAGAGCUUUAGAGAAAGUUCAGCAUAUAUUAGACAUCACAGAACCCAUGCGCCACUAGAGGAGACGGGCCUUUAAGUUUCCAAGCCCUCUUCAAAAGAACAUUGGAAGGAAAGAGGAAAGCCACCACCUUGCUCUCUCUCUCUCUCCCAUGAACUGCAAUUUGACUGCUGCUGACAGGUCUCACUCAGAGGGGGACUUUUCUCAGCAAGAUUUGAAGGCAUUCACCUAACCUCCUCCACAAGGAAACCCAUCACAGGCUUCUAGGAUGGUCUGUGAAGGUUUGCUGAAAUGAGCAGAAGCUGAGAUCUCUGGAUAAAAAGGGUUCUGAAAAAGAAUAGCUCUUUGGUAGCAGAUUACGUCAUAUCUUGAUACGCUUGUCUCAUGUCUUGGCUCUACUGCCCCUCGGUUAGAAUUUUGGGCUCCAGCCAUGUACUUGUAACCCUUUUCUGGACUUUGUUGUGUCCUGAAUCGUUGACUAAAUUCUGGACUGACUGCCUGGUUUCAUUUAUGAACCAGGAUUUUGUUUGUAUCCCUGACUUUUUGAGUUGUCUUUGAGAAUUCUGUUUGUACUCUUGAUUUUUUGGUUGUUAUUUUAUCAUCUCUGUCGAAUGAACUCUGGGCAUGUGACUAUUGGACUGUUACCUUGGCUAUUGUUUUUUCUUGCUCCUGACCUGGAUCUGCCGUUCUUGACAUGUCUGCAUUAAUUGGGCUCUUGACCUUGACUUGUGUUCACUGUUACUCCGACUGUGUUGAUGCAAUCAUAUUAUUUUAGCAGGACUCAAGAUUUUAAAGGUAAAGGAUUUAAAGUUUCAAUGUAAAGACUCAAGUCUUGAAAGGUAUGGUCUUGGCUUACCUUGUGUUCCUCAGACCUUAUACCGGGAGAGCCCUGGUACACGAGACCAUCAGUCUUGCUUUGUGUGUACUAAUCCCUGCUUAGAGUGAACCCAUUUCUGUAUUUGAGACUGUUUAAUCACCACCUUUGGCAAAGGGUCCAUUACGAUACACUGCAUAUCUCCCUAACUGUAUGGAAUGGAAGACAAAGAAUGAUCACAACAGAUGAUGCAGAUUGAUGAUGAUGAUGGUGAUGAUAAUGAUAAUGAUGAUACUUUAUUUGUAACCUAUCUCCCCAAGGGGACUCAGGGCGGUUUCCAGGAAGUAACAAAAUGGCAAACAUUCAAUGCCACAAUGUCAAAAACAAUAGAUAUGACAAUCUCAAUAUAACCCUAUGAACGAAACUAAAAAAAAUAACCAAAUAUUGAAACGGAAACAUAAUCUCACACAUUUACCAUGGUAAAAUCCUACAUGUUUCACAUAAGGUAGUUUACGGCUUCCCAGGAGCUGAGGUAGGUGUCCAAUAUCUGGGCAAGGAUAUUUAUAUGAUGUAGUAGUCCUCCUCCUCUCCAUAAGCUAAAGUGCAUAAAUGGCUUUUUAAAAGCUUUUUGAAGGAGAGGAGAGGGGGCCAUUCUUAGUUCUUUAGGGAGGGAGUUCCAGAGACAAGGGGCGAUCUCAGAGAAGGCCCCUCUCUUGUCCCCCCACAACCGAGGUUGGGACAGGAGUGGGACCGAGAAGAGGGUCUCUGCAGACCACUGCACCCACGCUGGUUUAUUUAUGGAGAUGCCAUUUUUCAAAAACUCUGGACCUGAAAUGCUUAGGGCAUUAUAGGUAAUAACCAGCACUUUGUAUUAAGCCCAGGAGCGUAUGGGCAGACAGUGGUUCGUUCCCUUUAUGGUGCUCCAGAAAUUAACCUGGUUGCGGAUCUCUGAAGAAUUGAAGCUUCCGAACUAUCUUCAAAGGCAGCCCCAUGUAGAGAGCGUGGCAGUGGUCCAGGUUGGAUGUAACUGGACUCAUUAAUCCGUUGAGAUGGACAAAUUAACUAAAUGGAUGAAAUAUAGAACAGCAUUUAGAGGAAUAGAGGUAAAAAUCGUAUAGUGAAUGAGAUGUUUAUAGACUAGUGUUCGUUGUCCGUUAGUUUUGAUCUUAUUGUACAAGACGUGUGUCCUUGUUCGCUUUAUAUUUGGUUAAGUAGUACUUCUAAAAAUGGACCAAAAUGAUAAUUUGUGUAAAAAUAAAUAAAUACCUAAAUUGUAAUUUGCAUAAGCAUGCUUUGUUUUGUUUCUGUUGUUUUUUGUCUUUGAAUAAAAAUGGUUUAUUCUAUGAAGUGUGAUACAUCAGCUUUAAAAAGCCAACGUGAUUCUAGGCUGUACCAAUGGGAGGGUGAUGUCUAGAUCCGGGUCAGUUUUAGUCGACUCUCUUCUACACUUUGGUCAGACCUGCCCUGGAAUAACCCUGUGUCCAGAUCUGAGCAGCGCAAUUCAAGCAAGAGUUCGAGAUGCUAGAAUGUCUCCAGAGAAGGGCUCCAGGGAAUGGCUGAGGGAGAUUGAUGUGUUCAGUCUGGAGGGGAAAAAAAAGGCUGAGGGGACAGGAGAGCCAAUAUUUGGAAGGUUGUCCCUUUGAGGAGAAAAGGGCAAGUGUUUCCUGCUUCUCUGGAGACAAAAUACAAAGCAACUGAUUCCCAUUGCAGGAAAGAAGCUUCCACCUAAACAUUAGGAAGCAUUUCUCAAUGGUAAGAGCUGUUCAGCCAUGGAAGCCUUGUCCCUUCUCAGGAGCCUCCCUUCCCAAGCCCUGGCCUUCCACCUCCUGGGGACUCCAUGUCCCAGAAUCCCUGACCUUGGACCAAGAGAGCUUGGGCUCCUGGGUGUUGAAGCCCAAGAAAUCCCAGAGGAAUAGAGUUUGGGAAUCCUUGCUCCAGAGAGUGGAGGGAAUUGCUCUCUUGGACUACAACUCCCAUAAACACUAUAAAAAGACCUGGCAUGGGGGUUGUAGGACCCUGGGAGUUGUAGUCCAAGACAAAUAUGUCUCCCAAGUCCUUGCAAUUAAAGGCUUUCUUUCUCAUGGUGUCGAAUGUGUUUGUGUUCAUCCAUAUAGAGAAGGGUUUAGAAAGAAACAAGGAGAAUGUGCAUUGAGUAUCUGCCACGACUUUAAUGUUUACUUGUCAUUCUGAUGGCAGUGGUUGAUCAGGUAUAUAUUAAUCCAAUGUCCACAAUGUAAUAAAGAAUCCUAUGUUAUUAUCUCCCAUAAUCUCCCAUAAUCCUUCCCCACAGGAAGACCUAAGGAGGCCAGAUAAAGAGAGACCCUGGUUGUUUAUAGAUUUUGGGAAUUUGGGUUGUUUUGGGUCUUAGGCCUCCUGAGGAGAGAGGGCCCAGAUGCCCUUCUCAUUGGAUUCCCACGUCCUCUCUUUUUGAGGUGAUUUCAGUAGAGACCACAUAUAGUGAGUCUAUACCUGGUGAGGCUCCACUAAAUCAGAUCGGCCCGGACAGAGAACAAAGUUAUCUGGGUUUGAAAGCAAAGAAGAUGACUUUCAAUCCACUUGCACAGGUAUAAAGUGCUAAACGGUUCCGGCCCAGCUUACUUGUCCGAACGUGUCUCCCGCUAUGACCCAUCACGGAAUCUAAGAUCUUCCAGGGAGGCCCUGCUCUCGGUUCACAGGUGCGGCUGGCGGGGAUGAGGGACAGGGCCUUUUCAGUGGUGGCCCCCCGCCUAUGGAACACCCUCCCAAACAAAAUUAGACAGGCUCCCGCCCUCCUGUCUUUCUGAAAGAGAACAAAAACGUGGUUAUGGGAGCAGGCAUUUGAGCAUGAGUAGCAGCAGAAUCGCGAUAUGAAUAUAUGACUCCUUGACAGACCCCCACCUGGACAUGAAAAGCACCUUAAAUGUAUAUUUAAAUGUACAAUGAUGCAGGUUUUUAAGGUAUAUUUUAAUUUUUAUUGUAAUUUUUUAAUCUUGGAAGACUUUUAAUCUGAUGUAAACUGUGUUUCUGAUGUAUAUUGUAAGCCGCUCUGAGUCCCCUGAUGGGUGAGAAGGGCGGGGUAGAAAUGAUGUAAUAAUAAAUCAAUCAAUAUCCAGA
This is an RNA transcript of Anolis carolinensis (green anole), 6441 nucleotides long. It is a transcript of the gene named zinc finger protein 84, with no coding region annotated. The record is from RefSeq and is a predicted model, not a curated record. The transcript has 4 exons. NCBI's taxonomy places the organism in Eukaryota, Metazoa, Chordata, Lepidosauria, Squamata, Anolidae.